ACGGAAGGCAGCAGUGGGGAAUAUUGCACAAUGGGCGAAAGCCUGAUGCAGCGACGCCGCGUGAAUGAAGAAGUAUUUCGGUAUGUAAAGUUCUAUCAGCAGGGAAGAUAAUGACGGUACCUGACUAAGAAGCACCGGCUAAAUACGUGCCAGCAGCCGCGGUAGUACGUAUGGUGCAAGCGUUAUCCGGAUUUACUGGGUGUAAAGGGUGCGUAGGUGGCAUGGCAAGUCUGAAGUGAAAUGCGGGGGCUCAACCCCUGAACUGCUUUGGAAACUGUCAAGCUUGAGUACAGGAGAGGAAAGCGGAAUUCCUAGUGUAGCGGUGAAAUGCGUAGAUAUUAGGAGGAACACCAGUGGCGAAGGCGGCUUUCUGGACUGUAACUGACGUUGAGGCUCGAAAGCGUGGGGAGCAAACAGGAUUAGAUACCCUGGUA
RNAcentral lists this ribosomal RNA (434 nucleotides) under uncultured Lachnospiraceae bacterium. RNAcentral's name for it is "partial 16S ribosomal RNA". It matches the Rfam family "Bacterial small subunit ribosomal RNA", at positions 341 to 792 of the family's 1533-position model. The record is from RNAcentral. Lineage: Bacteria; Bacillati; Bacillota; Clostridia; Lachnospirales; Lachnospiraceae.